Molecule: microRNA precursor, 98 nt
Filed under: Cordylochernes scorpioides
Lineage: Eukaryota; Metazoa; Arthropoda; Arachnida; Pseudoscorpiones; Chernetidae
Source: RNAcentral
GGUAACCCUCGAUAGCUCAGUUGUCAGAACGGAGAACUGUUGAUGUUUCAACAGUGAUCCUUAGGUCGCUGGUUCAAAUCUUGUUCUAUCAAGGUACC